CCGUGCCUAAUACAUGCAAGUUGAACGCAACAAAGACACCAGAGCUUGCUCUACCGUCUUUGUUGAGUAGCGAACGGGUGAGUAACGCGUGGGUAACCUGCCUUAUAGCGGGGAUAACUAUUGGAAACGAUAGCUAAUACCGCAUAACAAUAGAGAUUGCAUAAUCUUUAUUUGAAAGUGCCAACUGGUACACUAUGAGAUGGACCCGCGUUGUAUUAGCUAGUUGGUAGUGUAAUGGACUACCAAGGCGAUGAUACAUAGCCGACCUGAGAGGGUGAUCGGCCACAUUGGGACUGAGACACGGCCCAAACUCCUACGGGAGGCAGCAGUAGGGAAUCUUCGGCAAUGGACGAAAGUCUGACCGAGCAACGCCGCGUGAGUGAAGAAGGUUUUCGGAUCGUAAAACUCUGUUGUUAGAGAAGAAUGUUGAUUAGAGUGGAAAAUUAAUCAAGUGACGGUAUCUAACCAGAAAGGGACGGCUAACUACGUG
This 490-nucleotide ribosomal RNA is filed under the name uncultured bacterium. RNAcentral's name for it is "bacterial SSU rRNA". It matches the Rfam family "Bacterial small subunit ribosomal RNA", at positions 42 to 507 of the family's 1533-position model. The record is from RNAcentral.